RNAcentral lists this ribosomal RNA (253 nucleotides) under uncultured bacterium. Its description in RNAcentral is "partial 16S ribosomal RNA". It matches the Rfam family "Bacterial small subunit ribosomal RNA", at positions 524 to 776 of the family's 1533-position model. The record is from RNAcentral.
GACAGAGGGUGCAAACGUUGUUCGGAAUUACUGGGCGUAAAGCGUGCGCAGGCGGUUUUGUAAGACUGUCGUGAAAUCCCCGGGCUUAACCUGGGAAUGGCGAUGGUGACUGCAAGGCUAGAGUUUGGCAGAGGGGGGUAGAAUUCCACGUGUAGCAGUGAAAUGCGUAGAGAUGUGGAGGAACACCGAUGGCGAAGGCAGCCCCCUGGGUCAAGACUGACGCUCAUGCACGAAAGCGUGGGGAGCAAACAGG